RNAcentral lists this ribosomal RNA (468 nucleotides) under uncultured bacterium. RNAcentral describes it as "partial 16S ribosomal RNA". It matches the Rfam family "Bacterial small subunit ribosomal RNA", at positions 28 to 507 of the family's 1533-position model. The record is from RNAcentral.
GACGAACGCUGGCGGCGUGCUUAACACAUGCAAGUCGAACGGAAAGGCCCUGCUUUUGUGGGGUGCUCGAGUGGCGAACGGGUGAGUAACACGUGAGUAACCUGCCCUUGACUUUGGGAUAACUUCAGGAAACUGGGGCUAAUACCGGAUAGGAGCUCCUGCUGCAUGGUGGGGGAUGGAAAGUUUCGGCGGUUGUGGAUGGACUCGCGGCUUAUCAGCUUGUUGGUGGGGUAGUGGCUUACCAAGGCUUUGACGGGUAGCCGGCCUGAGAGGGUGACCGGCCACAUUGGGACUGAGAUACGGCCCAGACUCCUACGGGAGGCAGCAGUGGGGAAUAUUGCACAAUGGGCGGAAGCCUGAUGCAGCAACGCCGCGUGCGGGAUGACGGCCUUCGGGUUGUAAACCGCUUUCGCCUGUGACGAAGCGUGAGUGACGGUAAUGGGUAAAGAAGCACCGGCUAACUACGUG